CAGGAAAACGAAGUUCAACAGUCGGACUUAUCGGCCAGCAGUGAGAAUCUGUCUGAAAACGUCAAAGAAAAGGGAAAUGUGUUCAGUGGGAUGUUUAGAAGAUCUCCAAAACCAUCUGAAGGGUCGCAGUUGGAAGAAGGCGAAGAACCUUUGAAUGGCGAGCUCUCUGCCAGCAACGACAGCCUGUCAGAGAACAAGGAGAAAGGCGGCUUUUUUGGACUCCUAAGAAAGACCCCAAAGUCCACUACAAAGG
This is a long non-coding RNA of Cyprinodon variegatus (sheepshead minnow), 253 nucleotides long. RefSeq lists it as uncharacterized. The transcript has 4 exons. The record is from RefSeq and is a predicted model, not a curated record. NCBI's taxonomy places the organism in Eukaryota, Metazoa, Chordata, Actinopteri, Cyprinodontiformes, Cyprinodontidae.